AACAACUGAUUGUUUCUCAUGAAUCUCUAAGCAAGAUUGUUGAUUCAUCCAUUCAUGGUCUUCAAAGUUAUUUGAUUGUU
Molecule: non-coding RNA, 80 nt
Organism: Oryza nivara
Lineage: Eukaryota; Viridiplantae; Streptophyta; Magnoliopsida; Poales; Poaceae
Source: Rfam